CCCCUCCCCUCCUCCCCUGGCAACCCCUCCUUUUGACAGUGUCAGUUUAUUGUCUCCACCCCUGUUCCCCUGGUUAUACCCUCUGUCAAUCCCUCCCUGAGUUCCUGUCCAUCACACACUGUCCCCUUCCCUCUUUCCAGAAAGUUCUCCCCUCCUCGGUGGGUGAUUGGAUCGGGAACAAGAGUCCCUCCCUGUCACAUUCCCUAUUGGCUAGCCGGCAUGUUUCUCACGAGUUUGUUCCCUCCCAAGUUCUCCCUCAUUGGUUGAUGUGUUGUAUGUUCCGCCCCCUUUAUAAUCGGCUGAACCCCCACCUCGUGGUCCCGACUCGGCUGGCUUCCCCUGGAGACAUUAAACUCUGGACUUUGUCGCCGAGAAGAGUCCCUCUUUUCUACUUCAUCUUCCUGCUGCCCGCCGCUGCGUCCUGCUUAGGCGCUCCCCGGACGCCCCCGGCGCAACUGGGCAGUGCCCCCCCGGCUGUCAGCUGCUGUGCCACAGCUCAGCCGGUGCAGACUCCUCCCCAGCCCGGGGGAGUAGAGAAAAACUCGGACAGCAACUCGGCAGUCUUGGCGCUCCACCGUGGGGGCAGUGGACACCCCCGGACCCCGCGGCAGGAGGUCAGUGGCCAGCGGGCAGGUUUUGCCCUUCUUGCUUGGUUCAUCGGUUGCUCCGUGGACGUCAGACUACCCUGUCUGUGAGCAAACCUCGUUUUAGAGGCGGCACUCCGGAUCGGGACGGGACCGGCAUCUCCUGCACCCCGGAGUCGGUCCCCGGCGAAGUCUUUUCCCUUGGAGUUUUAUCCCAGUCGGCGCUGGUCAGAGGAUGUGAUGCCUGCACAGCCCCAGCGUACUCCCACCCAGGGAAGACCUCCACCUCACGGACAAUGCCACCUGUGCGGAAACUUGGACCAUUGGAUGCCAGACUGUCCACUUCGAGCUCAGUUCUAUGAGUUCUGAAGAAAGCAGACGGCAUCCCAGGAGGGACUCCAUCAAAAUCCAAAAAACUAAAACAUGAGCGCAGCCCCUCCCUGCAUGAUGACAAAAAUAGGGCGGGUGACAUACCACCAAAAAAGGGGGAUUUGGGGAGGGGAUCCUAGUUUGCCCACCCGAUUUCACGACUAUCUAAACCGGACUUGACUUCACAAUCAACCUUAACUUUUCCAUCGCUAACAACCUCUUCUUUGGUUUCGCCCUUCAGGUUGCACCUGGUUGAGGACCUUAACAUCACAAUCUCCCAGUGCCACCUCGUAAUGGUAGCACUUCAGGCACCAGGUACUUGGUACUGGAUCCAAAUUGGAUUCUCCCUCAUCCUAAUGCAACUUCUGUUGAUGACCCACCCAGCUGACACGUGGAUUGUUCCCCAGCCGAAGGCGAACGUCUGGCGGACCUUGGCUCAGGCAAUGGGACAAGACCACCUGUGCCUGUCCACGACCUCUACAGCAGACCCCCUCUCAACUUGCCAUGUGGGGAUCCCAUUUGGGGUUGAUGAUUUUCCCUCUCCCUUUUUCCCCACCCUAAAAUCCUUACUCCCCCAGUAUGCCCCUGAUGCCUGUCCCGAACCUAGAAUCUUGUGGAGUGCGGUCCUUACAGUACUCCAACACGCCCCCGAAGAACCCACACAAUUCGAUCUGCUCGGCUCCGCCCGCGCCUCCCUAUGCUUUCAGUUCGUUCCCUACCCUGGGGAGAGCCCAUUUCAAGAGGUCCGCCAGGGAAACAAGAAGUAUAUUGCCGCCAACUGGUGUGACCGCGUUGCAGCAAUCAGAACUCCAUCCACAUUCUAUGGGCAACCCUGAAUCCUCCCUAAGAGCGUGUUCCUGAUGUGCGGAGACCGAGCGUGGCCUGGCAUUCCCUCUCGUCUGUCCGGAGGGCCCUGCACUUUCGGGCGGUUGACGCUGCUUACCCCCAACUACACCCAAAUUUUAGAUUGGAAAAAUAAAAAUGUCACACAGAAUUCGGCCCGAAUUAGAAGAGACACCCGCAAAUUUGUCUCGGAGUGUGACGCCGAAAUUAUACAUUGGUCUAAACCCAAAAACAUUGUGGUUUCGGUGUUUUUGCUGUGGGUGGCCGCAGCAAAGGCACUAGGGGAAUUGGGACACCUCGAGUGCUGGGUGGCGAAGCAAGCCAAUUUGACCUCAACUGCCCUAGCGGACCUUCUAGCUGAUGAAGAAACAACAAGGAAAGCAACCCUCCAAAAUAGGGCAGCAAUCGAUUUCCUUUUGUUACUCCACAACCAUCACUGUGAGGAGUUCGAGGGGCUCUGCUGCAUGAACCUGUUGUCAUGAGCCGAGGACGUCAGACGCACCAUCCGCCACAUGUCCGAGGACGUUGACAACAUCCGACAACAGACCUCGGACUGGUUGGGGGACUUGCUAUCCAAAAUGGGAGUGGCAGGCUGGGUGGGCUCCAUCAUUCGCACCGUUUUAGUUGUUAUCUUCAUUUUGCUCUGCUUAGUUUUUGGUUUUUGCAUUAUCUAUAAGUUACUGACCAGAAUUUUGUUUGCCGCAACCCCCCAAAACAACCAUGUUGAGGCUCCUGCUGACCCUGCUCCCAUCCCUGAAGAACCUUCCUGUGAGAAAAUGCAUUGGGAGCAGGCCCCUCAAUCCUCCCUAUGGUUUUCAGUUACUACGCCAGUUUAAGAACAAUUUCAGUUUUAUUUUUAUUUUAAACAAAAAACAGGGAGAUGUUGUGGUGCAGGGUUCAUUUGGUUUGUUCUGUUUCCCCCUAAAGUUAUAAUGGUUCGGUCCUGGGGUUCCCCUCCCCUCCUCCCCUGGCAACCCCUCCUUUUGACAGUGUCAGUUUAUUGUCUCCACCCCUGUUCCCCUGGUUACCCUCUGUCAAUCCCUCCCUGAGUUCCUGUCCAUCACACACUGUCCCCUUCCCUCUUUCCAGAAAGUUCUCCCCUCCUCGGUGGGUGAUUGGAUCGGGAACAAGAGUCCCUCCCUGUCACAUUCCCUAUUGGCUAGCCGGCAUGUUUCUCACGAGUUUGUUCCCUCCCAAGUUCUCCCUCAUUGGUUGAUGUGUUGUAUGUUCCGCCCCCUUUAUAAUCGGCUGAACCCCCACCUCGUGGUCCCGACUUGGCUGGCUUCCCCUGGAGACAUUAAACUCUGGACUUUGUCGCCGAGAAGAGUCCCUCUUUUCUACUUCAUCUUCCUGCUGCCCGCCGCUGCGUCCUGCUUAGGCGCUCCCCGGACGCCCCCGGCGCAACUGGGCAGUGCCCCCCCGGCUGUCAGCUGCUGUGCCACAGCUCAGCCGGUGCAGACUCCUCCCCAGCCCGGGGGAGUAGAGAAA
Long non-coding RNA from Passer domesticus (house sparrow), 3284 nucleotides. RefSeq lists it as uncharacterized. Lineage: Eukaryota; Metazoa; Chordata; Aves; Passeriformes; Passeridae. The record is from RefSeq and is a predicted model, not a curated record. The transcript is spliced from 3 exons.